Molecule: non-coding RNA, 1098 nt
Organism: Pelobates cultripes (western spadefoot toad)
Lineage: Eukaryota; Metazoa; Chordata; Amphibia; Anura; Pelobatidae
Source: the annotation of a GenBank genome assembly
CCACACCUCCCAGAACCGUACCCAAGACAACCCUCCUAUUCCUAGUUCUACUUCUUGUCACCCAUCUGACUAAAACCUUAUUAAUAGUGGAUGUGACCCUAGAACAGUUCUGAAAGUGUGAUGAAACUAGCCAAUCUGUUAGUCGAAUCAAUUGGUAAGUAACAUUCCUAACUAUAGGGGUAGGUCUCAGUGAACAUAUUUGGAAAUUACCACUAGAGACCUCUCUAAUCUUCUGACACUCAGGUCUGCUCCCAUUAUCCAUUAGUGAAGGAGUUGUGUGAAUAUAGGUGAAAGGAGGAGUCAGGAAUAUAGGCUCUAUCUCUUCCUCUACAUUCAACAAGACCUUCACUUCCCCACCCUUAUUGUGUCUUACUGUUCCCCAAUUUAUCCCCUUUAUGAUUAAUGUAUCCACUAUAAUUAGUGUUAUAUGAUACUCUCUAAGAUUGCUGUUAACAUUAUAACUAGGGUUAGUAACAUUUCAUAACAUUUCAUUUCAUAUUAAUAUUUCCUCCCUCCAUAUCUACAACCCAUUUUCCCCAACCAGUCCAUAUACAUUCCCAUUUUCCUCAACCAGUCCAUAAACAUUCCCAAUGUUCUUAAUUUCCCUUAUUGUCUUUUCCAAAAUCCCUUGAAAGAAUCAUGUCGCUUUAACCAAACAAUCUUGACCGCCCACCCAAAAUUAAAUGUCACAUCUACAUAUGGACUUGUAGAUUGUCACUGCUGUCCUCUGUUAAGUCUUUGGUAGAUCGAGCUGCCUUUGCAUAGAUACAGCUGUUGUUGCUUUGGCCUGUGACAAGCUGUUCCAUCACUUUCCAGGUGAGUUUUAGCAUGUUGAGUGACAUCCAUGUCUCGGUACUUUUGGAAAAAUCUGUAAGAGAUCAAGAAGGCGUAUCAGUUCUUAGCAGAUAACUCUGUACCUGGGGAACAAGCCCCUUUAUAUAAUUUACGUUGGUCUACAUGGACUGACUUGUAUAGACCUCUGCAUUUUUACAAAUGUUUUGCCCAAUGUUUCUAGGAUUACAUAGGGCUCUUCCCAAUUUGCAUCCCAGGGAUAAUUUUGAUAAAAUGUUUAAUCUUUAUUACGCCUACCCCCCCUUU